UAAAAUAGCACGUUGGUCUCAAAUAAGACAUUGAUACAAUGCAACACUUGCCGUCAGUAUUUGAAAAUAUUGAUUAAGAAGCUGUGUGUAAAAGUGAAUGUUUAAAUGGAGGCUCAUGUAGAGGACCUGACUACUGCGCAUGUCCACAAAACUUUACAGGUCCUUUGUGUGAACUAGGUUGUCAGCAAGAUGAAAAGAAUAAAUAUGCAGUUAAAAGUCAAAAUGUGGAUAAGCUUCAAAGUUCAAGGUCCUACUUUUGCAGAUUUUCAUAUUUUGCAUGAAUGAAUUUAAAGUUUAUAUCAUGGACAGCAGUGAAAGAAAAAAAAAAUCUUUUCAAUUUUCCUGCUACAAAGGAUAAAUGUAAAGACAUCUUGUUUUCGGUAAGUUUUAAUUCUGUUCUGUUUUUUUGGGGCUCGCUGGUCUUAACCAUUUUUUUUUAAUUUAAUAUAGGAUUUCGCUAUAUUUUUCUUUAUUUAAUAUAGGAUUUCGCUAUAUUUUUCUUUAUUUAAUAUAGGAUUUCGCUAUAUUUUUCUAUCUAAAAAGAACUUAUCUUAAACUUAAAAUGGGGUCACUGUUCUCUCGAUCACAAUCUGCCUUCGAUGAGUUAUAAAAGAUAUUUCAAUUUUAAUGCCCAAAAAAUGGCAUUUUUACACCAAAGGGAGAUAACUUGAAGCUUUUUCAAUGAGAUCUAGAAAUUUAAAAGUCACCUUGGGCCAACAUGAAUUGAUUUUUAUGCCCAACCUACGAUAGUAGAGGGGCAUUAUGUUUUCUGGUCUGUGCAUCUGUUUGUCCCUCUGUCCGUUCGUUCGUCUGUCUGUUCGUUCAUCCAUCCGUUCGUCCGUCUGUCCCGCUUCAGGUUAAAGUUUUUGGUCAAGGUAGUUUUUGAUGAAGUUGAAGUCCAAUCAACUUGAAACUUAGUACACAUGUUCCUUAUGAUAUAAUCUUUCUAAAUUUAAAACCAAAUCAAACUUUUGACCCCAAUUUCACGGUCCACUGAACAAAGAAAAUGAAAGUGCAUGUUUCAGGUUAAAGUUUUUGGUCAAGGUAGUUUUUAAUGAAGUUGAAGUCCAAUCAACUUGAAACUUAGUACACAUGUUCCUUAUGAUAUUAUCUUUCUAAUUUCAAUGCCUAAUUAUAUUUUUUAUCCAAUUUCAUGGUUCAUUGAACAUGGAAACUGAAAGUGCGAGUGGGGCAUUCGUGUACUUUGGACACAUUCUUGUUUUGAAUUAUUUUUGUACCAUAUGAUAAAGUAACAAAAUUCUACUAAAGGUAACUGAUAAAAUUUGUAAUCAUGGUAAUGAAAAAUAAGUGUUUAAUUUUUUUCUGAAAAUCUUAUACCCGUGAGCCUCCUUAAUAGUCAUGGUAGUGUUUGUGCAUUCAUCUGUCCAGUCUUUCCUCUAAAUUGUAUUCUCUUUAAAUAUUGGUGAGUGAUUGUCAUGAAUUUCAGUAAGUUACUUGUGGAUUUACAUGUAAAAUACUCAAAAUUUAGUACUUAUAGUAAUGGGAUUUUAGCAUGACAUCCUGUCAAAUGCUCGUUAACCGUGUUUAUAUUCCAGAACAUAUGAGUAUUUGUACUGUACACGUACAAUCUGCCCAAUUUUAAGAAGUUGGUCAAGUUUAUUAGAAACAAAUUUACAUUACAGAUCAAUAUAACUGAAACCUUUUAAUAGAUUAAUACAAAAAGUUAAAUUUGUA
Molecule: long non-coding RNA, 1695 nt
Organism: Mytilus trossulus (common blue mussel)
Lineage: Eukaryota; Metazoa; Mollusca; Bivalvia; Mytilida; Mytilidae
Exons: 3
Source: RefSeq, a predicted model, not a curated record